Molecule: transfer RNA, 97 nt
Filed under: Kwoniella bestiolae CBS 10118
Lineage: Eukaryota; Fungi; Basidiomycota; Tremellomycetes; Tremellales; Cryptococcaceae
Description: tRNA-Leu
Rfam family: tRNA
About the family: Transfer RNA (tRNA) molecules are approximately 80 nucleotides in length.
Source: RNAcentral
GGUACUGUGGCCGAGUGGUUAAGGCGCUGUGUUCAGGUGCGGAUUGCUACCUCAGAACCGCAGUCUUCGGGCGCGGGUUCGAAUCCCGUCGGUGCCA